UGGACCCUACGGGAGGCAGCAGUCGGGAAUAUUGCGCAAUGGAGGAAACUCUGACGCAGUGACGCCGCGUGCAGGAAGAAGGUUUUCGGAUUGUAAACUUCUGUUCUUAGUGAAGAAAAAUGACGGUAGCUAAGGAGCAAGCCACGGCUAACUACGUGCCAGCAGCCGCGGUAAUACGUAGGUGGCAAGCGUUGUCCGGAAUUACUGGGUGUAAAGGGAGCGCAGGCGGGAAGCCAAGUCAGCUGUGAAAACUACGGGCUUAACUUGUAGACUGCAGUUGAAACUGGUUUUCUUGAGUGAAGUAG
RNAcentral lists this ribosomal RNA (305 nucleotides) under uncultured bacterium. RNAcentral's name for it is "bacterial SSU rRNA". It matches the Rfam family "Bacterial small subunit ribosomal RNA", at positions 332 to 654 of the family's 1533-position model. The record is from RNAcentral.